AUAUUUCCAUCAACAGUGUUAUAUCAGAAAGCAUUUUGUCCAAACUGAAUGUUUGAGUGUUGAGAAGAUCUGAGUUUCUUCUAAUAUCAGUGUGUUGAAGUGUUGUUUCUCUCUCUCUGCUGGAGUUUGUGUUCACUCGAGUGGAAUAGAGGUUUUUGUACGACCGUUUCAUUAGAUUGUAUCACUGUGGUUGACUUUUGGUGGAGGAACUAAACUGGUGCUCGCUGGUCCCACAGUGAAGCCCUCAGUGUCUCUGCUGCCGCCCUCUUCUCUGCAGAUCUCUGGAGACUCAGCCGCACUGCUCUGCCUGCUCAGCUCUUACUCUCCACAGGGGGCGCUGGUGAGCUGGACACUGGACGGGUCAGAGGUCACCGAGGGGGUCGU
Molecule: long non-coding RNA, 384 nt
Organism: Ctenopharyngodon idella (grass carp)
Lineage: Eukaryota; Metazoa; Chordata; Actinopteri; Cypriniformes; Xenocyprididae
Exons: 2
Source: RefSeq, a predicted model, not a curated record